AUUGAACGCUGGCGGCAUGCCUUACACAUGCAAGUCGAACGGCAGCACGGGAGCAAUCCUGGUGGCGAGUGGCGAACGGGUGAGUAAAGUAUCGGAACGUGCCCAGUCGUGGGGGAUAACGUAGCGAAAGUUACGCUAAUACCGCAUACGAUCUAUGGAUGAAAGCGGGGGAUCGCAAGACCUCGCGCGAUUGGAGCGGCCGAUAUCAGAUUAGGUAGUUGGUGGGGUAAAGGCUCACCAAGCCGACGAUCUGUAGCUGGUCUGAGAGGACGCCCGGCCCCCCUGGGACUGAGACACGGCCCAGACUCCUACGGGAGGCAGCAGUGGGGAAUUUUGGACAAUGGGCGCAAGCCUGAUCCAGCCAUGCCGCGUGCAGGAUGAAGGCCUUCGGGUUGUAAACUGCUUUUGUACGGGACGAAAAGGUUUGGCCUAAUAAGCUGAGCUCAUGACGGUACCGUAAGAAUAAGCACCGGCUAACUACGUGCCAGCAGCCGCCGUAA
RNAcentral lists this ribosomal RNA (500 nucleotides) under uncultured bacterium. RNAcentral describes it as "partial 16S ribosomal RNA". It matches the Rfam family "Bacterial small subunit ribosomal RNA", at positions 30 to 523 of the family's 1533-position model. The record is from RNAcentral.